GGAAUCUUGGACAAUGGGGGAAACCCUGAUCCAGCGACGCCGCGUGACCGAUGAAGCCCCUCGGGGUGUAAAGGUCUUUCAGCGGGGACUAUUAUGAAGGUACCUGCAGAAGCAGCUGCGGCUAACUACGUGCCAGCAGCCGCGGUAAUACGUAGGCAGCUAGCGUUGUUCGGAAUUACUGGGCGUAAAGCGAGUGUAGGCGGUUUGCCAAGUCCGUUGUGAAAUCUCCCGGCUCAACUGGGAGGGUGCGGCGGAAACUGGCAGGCUAGAGUACGGAAUGGGAGAGUGGAAUUCCUGGUGUAGCGGUGAAAUGCGUAGAUAUCAGGAGGAACACCGGUGGUGAAGACGGCUCUCUGGACCGUCACUGACGCUGAGACUCGAAAGCGCGGGGAGCAAAC
This 398-nucleotide ribosomal RNA is filed under the name uncultured bacterium. RNAcentral describes it as "bacterial SSU rRNA". It matches the Rfam family "Bacterial small subunit ribosomal RNA", at positions 358 to 773 of the family's 1533-position model. The record is from RNAcentral.